UCCAGACUCCUACGGGAGGCAGCAGUGGGGGAUAUUGCACAAUGGGGGAAACCCUGAUGCAGCGACGCCGCGUGGGUGAAGAAGUAUUUCGGUAUGUAAAGCCCUAUCAGCAGGGAAGAAAGAAGACGGUACCUGACUAAGAAGCCCCGGCUAACUACGUGCCAGCAGCCGCGGUAAUACGUAGGGGGCGAGCGUUAUCCGGAUUCACUGGGUGUAAAGGGAGCGUAGACGGCCGUGCAAGCCAGGAGUGAAAGCCCGGGGCCCAACCCCGGGACUGCUCUUGGAACUGUGCGGCUGGAGUGCGGGAGGGGCAGGCGGAAUUCCUGGUGUAGCGGUGAAAUGCGUAGAUAUCAGGAGGAACACCGGCGGCGAAGGCGGCCUGCUGGACCGCGACUGACGUUGAGGCUCGAAAGCGUGGGGAGCGAACAGGAUUAGAUACCCGAGUAGA
RNAcentral lists this ribosomal RNA (448 nucleotides) under uncultured bacterium. RNAcentral describes it as "bacterial SSU rRNA". It matches the Rfam family "Bacterial small subunit ribosomal RNA", at positions 330 to 794 of the family's 1533-position model. The record is from RNAcentral.